This 76-nucleotide transfer RNA is filed under the name Candidatus Hydrogenedentota bacterium. RNAcentral's name for it is "tRNA-Asn". It matches the Rfam family "tRNA". From Rfam's summary of the family: Transfer RNA (tRNA) molecules are approximately 80 nucleotides in length. Their secondary structure includes four short double-helical elements and three loops (D, anti-codon, and T loops). Further hydrogen bonds mediate the characteristic L-shaped molecular structure. tRNAs have two regions of fundamental functional importance: the anti-codon, which is responsible for specific mRNA codon recognition, and the 3' end, to which the tRNAs corresponding amino acid is attached (by aminoacyl-tRNA synthetases). tRNAs cope with the degeneracy of the genetic code in two manners: having more than one tRNA (with a specific anti-codon) for a particular amino acid; and 'wobble' base-pairing, i.e. permitting non-standard base-pairing at the 3rd anti-codon position. Lineage: Bacteria; Pseudomonadati; Candidatus Hydrogenedentota. The record is from RNAcentral.
UCCGCGAUAGCUCAGUUGGUAGAGCGGGUGGCUGUUAACCACUAGGUCGCAGGUUCGAGUCCUGCUCGCGGAGCCA